This is a long non-coding RNA of Lycium barbarum (goji berry), 1095 nucleotides long. RefSeq lists it as uncharacterized. Lineage: Eukaryota; Viridiplantae; Streptophyta; Magnoliopsida; Solanales; Solanaceae. The transcript is spliced from 2 exons. The record is from RefSeq and is a predicted model, not a curated record.
AUUAAAUUGGAAGCCCAAAAUAAUUAAAUAGAGGAGAAAAAAUCAACAAUUUUCAUCUCAUAAGCAAUUGCUCGGAAGUAUAUCAAUGUUGGACUCAUUUUGAAGCUCGUAUUUUAAAACAACGUAUUAUAAUUUUUAUUUCAUCAAAACAUUAUUUUACAAGGGGGAAAUUCUUGAUAAUAGCUAUCUACCCCAAAAGAAAAACAAAAGAGAAAAUAAAUAAAUAAAUAAAAAAAAAACUUUGCAGCAUUCCUCUUUCUUCAUUUCACCACGCCACAAUCUGAUUUCUUCUUCCACUUUUUCUUUAAUGGGCUCCACAUAUAUUUUUUUUUGGACUACAUCUCAAUCUCUUAUUCUCCCUAAACCUACCCGCUCCCUCUUUCUUUCCUAUCUUCUUCUUUCUUCCGCCUCCUUUGUCAUCUUCUUCUUUCUUUUUUUUUAUCCUUCAUCGUGCUCCCCACCUCCCCUCUCUCUUUCAUCCUCACCCACGUUACCCGCUCCUCUCCACUUCCGCUUGUCCCCCAUUCCUUCGUCUCUCUCUUACGCUCCUCUCUUUUCUUAAACCAAACGAAGUCCUAUAAAAUCUGGGGGAAGUUAGGCAAAUGAGGAAGAAAAAACAGAUCGAGAAAAGGGGGGAGAUUCAACACUGAUCGGACACGGACGGGUGAUGCAUGAGUAUUUUCUAAAAGUCUUGGGUUCUCUUUCAUUUUCAAAAUCGGGUCUUGCAUUUUGUUUCAAAUCAGAGAAUACUCUCUGUUAUGAAAUUUGUGUCGAAAAAUUAAGUUUUUCGUGAUCCAAUCAACUUUCGUCGCCGCUCGGCAAAAGAACUUUAAAGUAUAACAAAGACAUUUUAAUUUUUUGACUCGAAGUUUCGAAUUCGUCAAUACGAGAGUAGAUUCGAGACUUGACGCCCCAUUCACUGCACCCACAAAAGGUAUGGAUUUGCAUUGGAGUACAAUGAAUGACGAAGAUCAAUGACAUCACAAAAACGAGGCUGAGAUUUAGACAUAGGAAAUUGUAUUCACUUCAUUUAGAUUAGGAAACACUUUAUGUUGUAUUCAUUUGACAUGUAAUAAACGUUACAUUACUUUUGUA